Long non-coding RNA from Brassica napus (rape), 1065 nucleotides. RefSeq lists it as uncharacterized. The transcript has 5 exons. The record is from RefSeq and is a predicted model, not a curated record. NCBI's taxonomy places the organism in Eukaryota, Viridiplantae, Streptophyta, Magnoliopsida, Brassicales, Brassicaceae.
UCCUGAAUUUUGAGUUCAUUUGGUUUCAUUUUAGAUGUGGAUAUGUUUAUUCACGAUUUGCGUUUGUGAUUCCUUUUUUGUUCACAGUGAUUGGAGAGCUGUUUCAUUUAACUUCGAUAUGUGACAGUGAAAACAAUUGCGGCUGUAUCAACAUUGAUGAAGGAGUUCCCGUGAUCGGAAUGGAGUACAAACUGUCUCAGGUGUUGCAGUUCUCUUGGUCAUCAUUGAAAAAGUCAGGGUCUAACUUACCAAGAGAUUGCUAAAAUUCCCUUAGGAGAAGGAUCUAUGAGACAUGGUCAGGUCCUGGAGGUUAAUGGGGAGAAAGCAAUUGGCCAGGUAGAGGAGUCCCAAAGGUUAACAUAACAAAAAACUGCAUUGUUGAUUGUUCUCAAUCAUUCACUAUGGUAAAACAUCUACCAUUACCCUUAACAAAGUAGCUGUUUCUGUUGAAGGCGUUGAAGCCAAACUAUGGCAGGUACCAGAGCCGCUUCCAGAAGAAGCACUCUCUAAGAUGAGCACACCACCAAAGAGUGAAUCACCAAUCAUCACACCUAACGACCUAGCUGAAGCUGAUGGGUUCGUCUUUGGAUUCCCAACAAGGUACGGCAUGAUGGCUGCUCAGUUCAAAGUCUUCUUGCACGCUACAGGUGGACUCCAGAGAACUCAGUCUCGCGGGUAAAACAGCUGGAUCUUCUACAGCACUGGCUCUCAAGGUGGUAGCCAAGAAAGCACUGCGUAAGUUCCCAUGAAACCAUGAGAGUCAUGUAUGAGCCGUAGUUUGUCAAUAAUAAAGUAGAUGUUUUUUUCUCAAGUCAUGUUCACGCAUACGUGAGGUCAGUAAGUACACAAAACUUUAGCUAUUUAUGUCUCCGUUUAAACUAUAGAUUAUGACAAUUUUGAGCUUCUGCGAAGCCAUGAACUCAUAUCAAACAUAGCAGACACCAUGGUUAAUAACAUUUCCAGUCCACUAAAAGAUCAAUCUGCUCAUGUCUACAUCAUUUGUGAUGGAGGAAACAUUGAAGGAUUUGCUACCAAGUCAGCUAUAUAAUAAAGGACUUAUGGUCA